Molecule: ribosomal RNA, 497 nt
Filed under: uncultured bacterium
Lineage: Bacteria
Description: partial 16S ribosomal RNA
Rfam family: Bacterial small subunit ribosomal RNA
Source: RNAcentral
GACGAACGCUGGCGGCGUGCCUAAUACAUGCAAGUUGAGCGCUGAAGGUUGGUACUUGUACCAACUGGAUGAGCAGCGAACGGGUGAGUAACGCGUGGGGAAUCUGCCUUUGAGCGGGGGACAACAUUUGGAAACGAAUGCUAAUACCGCAUAAAAACUUUAAACACAAGUUUUAAGUUUGAAAGAUGCAAUUGCAUCACUCAAAGAUGAUCCCGCGUUGUAUUAGCUAGUUGGUGAGGUAAAGGCUCACCAAGGCGAUGAUACAUAGCCGACCUGAGAGGGUGAUCGGCCACAUUGGGACUGAGACACGGCCCAAACGGCUACGGGAGGCAGCAGUAGGGAAUCUUCGGCAAUGGAGGAAAGUCUGACCGAGCAACGCCGCGUGAGGGAAGAAGGUUUUCGGAUCGUAAAACUCGGUUGGUAGAGAAGAACGUUGGUGAGAGUGGAAAGCGCAUCAAGUGACGGUAACUACACAGAAAGGGACGGCUAACUACGUG